CCAACGGUAUGGAUGCUGCCUUUCUCAUUUCUCUCUCGAUGCUCUCAAAAACCGAAUUUAAUGCCCCUGACGCAACCCGCCUGCCCUAUACAUCUCUCUCAGAUCUCUUGCUUCAUCCCACCUGUGAGACUAUCUCUCACUCUGCCCUCUGCUUCCACCCCCCUUUUAAAUGAGCAAAUCUUAGCUGAACAUCAUCCUAAACUGCAGAUGAAAUCUACGCAUCCCUCGGCGAGCCCCCUCUAUCUCUCUCUCUCUCCCUCCCUCCCCCAUAAAAACCCAUCUGGCUCAUGUCCCCCAAACUUCCAUUCUCUCCUCGAUCUCUCUCUCUAAACGAUUCUCAUAUGCUGCAAUCUCUCUCUAAAGUCCAAACUAUUCUCAUGUGCCCUUCACUUCUCUGGUUUCUCUCAGCCUCUCUCUCUACGAAAUCCAUUUCUCAUAGGGCAUCUCAUCUCUCUCUCUCUACAAAACCCUCUCUCCUUGCAGCCCAAUCCCUGUAAUCUUGGUAGCCAUUUGUCACAGACCAUCCCUACGCGAGCUGCGUACGAAACCCAUUUGCUCUCUUAUCGCAGCCCAAUCCCUCUAAUCGUGGCAGCCAUUUCUCACAGAGAAACCCCAUCUCUAUCGUUGCAGGCCAACCCCUCUAAUCGUGGCAGCCAUUUCUCACACAAAAUUGCAAAAGAAGCAGCAACAUUAGAGCCCUCUCUCACAGUAUAAACAUCCAAAUCGCAGAAAUAGAGCUAUUUCCAAAGUCCACUGUAAGAUUUGGUCCCGUAAGAACGUGGGACACGAGCAUUGAUGGUUGACAAGGUGCUCCACAAAAAAUGCGGUAAAUUUUUUCAAAAGAUUCAAGAGCCAUUUUUUUGUUACACGCUCCUUGCUAUAGUUUAAGAGCCAUUUUUUGUUUCACGCUUCAUAGUUGUGGUGAAUGUAGUGAUUGUGUUGUAUGGAAAUGGGGCAGUAAAGAGUCAUUUUUUGGUAAAAUGAAGUUUUGUGAUGGACUUGUCUGGUGAAUCUAGUGAUUGUGUUGUAUGGAAAUGGGGACAGUAAAGAAUCAGUUUUUGGUAAAAUACAGUAUUGUAAUGGACGUGUGGUGAAUGUGGUGAUUGUGUUGUAUGGUAAUGAUUCAAGAGUAAAUACAUGAAGAUGUAAACACAAUGUUUGAAGUCUGGACAUCUGGUUUCUUUC
Long non-coding RNA from Amborella trichopoda, 1185 nucleotides. RefSeq lists it as uncharacterized. The record is from RefSeq and is a predicted model, not a curated record. Lineage: Eukaryota; Viridiplantae; Streptophyta; Magnoliopsida; Amborellales; Amborellaceae.